AAAUUGAAGAGUUUGAUCAUGGCUCAGAUUGAACGCUGGCGGCAGGCCUAACACAUGCAAGUCGAACGGUAACAGGAAACAGCUUGCUGUUUCGCUGACGAGUGGCGGACGGGUGAGUAAUGUCUGGGAAACUGCCUGAUGGAGGGGGAUAACUACUGGAAACGGUAGCUAAUACCGCAUAACGUCGCAAGACCAAAGAGGGGGACCUUCGGGCCUCUUGCCAUCGGAUGUGCCCAGAUGGGAUUAGCUUGUUGGUGGGGUAACGGCUCACCAAGGCGACGAUCCCUAGCUGG
This 293-nucleotide ribosomal RNA is filed under the name Escherichia coli. Its description in RNAcentral is "partial 16S ribosomal RNA". It matches the Rfam family "Bacterial small subunit ribosomal RNA", at positions 1 to 290 of the family's 1533-position model. The record is from RNAcentral. Lineage: Bacteria; Pseudomonadati; Pseudomonadota; Gammaproteobacteria; Enterobacterales; Enterobacteriaceae.